GGUUAUAAGCAUAAUAAGAGGCGUGUUCCACCACUGUGGACGGGGUCCCUGGGCUUUCCCCUAGGGUCCCAUCAGCUGCUUAUGUUCUACCUUCUGACGGAUCACAGGAGGAGCCUGCAGCGGAGGAGCCUCCUCCUCCUCAGCAUCAGACCUAAAGGGAGUGUCCUGCCUGAAGGACCGGCUCAAGGUCGCACUAACAGCUCUUGCUAACUCCUGUUCCAGGCUGUUUAUCUGGGCCUCCAAGUACCCUGCUUGCGCCUGGAGGUCUCUCACCCCCAGGUCCUGCUCAAAGCUGUGCACUUGGGCCCCCAGGCAUGCGGCUUGCUCCGGAAGGUCCCUUACCUGUGGCACUGAGCAUGUACUUCCUGCAGUGCAGUUAGAAAUGCCCAUCCGACUCUGCUUGCAAAGGCACAGCUGCUUAAAGACUGUUACCGGAAAGGAAUCCUGAUCCAGACGCCAAGAGAGGGUUCUUGGACUCAUGCAAGAAAGACUUCAGAAUACGAGUUUUGAAUUUUUGAAUUGCUGUUAAAACUUUCAUCAUGAACACUGAAGUGAGUGAAAAGAGACUUUUGCAGUCAUUUUUUUGGACAGAGAUCAUGGAAGUUGGGCCCGACUGGAUGAGAUUUGGGGGUCUUUGGAAGUGGAGAAUGUGUUUGCCCUGGGGAAGAGAGGUGAUGUCUAGGAGACCUCUUCACUCAGGGCAAGCUCUAUGACCUGCUUUGACUCCAGAAUGUGGUAGAAGUGGCAUCACAUAAAUUGCAGAGCCUAGGCUUCAAGAGACCUUGCAACUUGCCUCUCACUGACUUGAAGUGCUCCCAUCAGAGCAUCUUGUAAGGAGCAGGUGGAGCAUGUGGACAAGCCAUCCCCACCAGCCCCUGAGACAUGUGAGAGAGGCCAGAACAGGCCAUCCGGACCCCACUGUGCUGGUGGAUGAGACAGCAGAAGGAAUAUCAACCUACCAACAGAAUCCUGAGAAAUGCUCACUCUUACUUCAAGCUGCUGCAUUUUGAUGUUAUGAAACCAUAAAUAACUUAUGAAGUCAUCUUUGCUGACUUAAAGUUUUCCAUAACUUUAUUAUAACAUAUCAAAAUUAUGAAAAAUGUGAAAAGUAGAAAACUGAUGAAUUUUGCUUCUUCAUAUGGUCUUUAAGAAUCUCAAAGGCACUGAAGUUUUUUAUCUUUUCUGUCUUAGAAUAAAAAACCUUGAAUGAAAAUCUGCUUCUUGGAAAAGCAGCAAGGUUUAUGCAGAGGCAAUCUGGUAUUUGUGUGCACUGGCAGCUGAUCAUACCCAGCAUGCACGCACUCUCAGGGCAGAGUCUGAUGCCCCACAUAAUGGGGCAUGGUAAGGACUCCCAUGUCCUUGAGAUAAAAUGAUAAGGAAAAUACACACUGCUAUUAGAAUAACAGGCCCAGCUUCUGCACAUUUUAAUUCCCAAAGUUUUCAUGAAAGACAAUGAUUUUUUGGUACCAUGUUUAACUCUACAAGAAUCAGUAGUGAAAACUAAAAAUGAUACUUUGUGAAAGUUCAUUAAUUUUGUUUUCAGCCAGUGGUGGCCUUGGUCAGAUAGAAUCAAAUCUAUGAUACUUUUUAUCAGAAAUGCUUAUACUGUGUACAAACCCAAAGUGAUGGCUUUCAAAGAUUGAAUUUGAUUAUUUUCUGUAUGGUGCAGAUGAAAAAUUACUACACAGGAGAAGGUGGGUUGGAGGUGCUCACGAGUAACCAGGAAACAGUCUGAAGUUUUUCUGAUACUUCUCCUUGGUCCAACCAAAUGUGAGAUAUAAACACAAACUUGGGAUUCCGUUCUUAUGUUUUGGUUGUUUCAGUCUUUACAGAUGUAUCGAAAGGCUGUCCAAAAAUGUCUGACUUCUGUAGUGUGCCUUCGUAGCACUAGAGGGUUCUGCAGCUGUGAAACUGAAGGCAUUGGCAAGAAGCCCUCCAUCUUCAAACCACUUUCUGCUAAGGUGUGGCUCUAUAAAACCACUAUGAGCUGGGCUUCACUGAGACUGAGUUGUUUCAGUAGGAUCUUCCGGAAAAACAUGUUCCCUCCUUUACCUGGGUUGUCAUUCUGAGAACAAUCACACCUCCAAUUUUGGCUUACUAAGCAAUAGCGUUUUAAUGAUUUUAAGCCAGGAUUUGCUCCUCCUUUCCUCAGUAUGAGAGCUUAACCACUGGAGGAACCAAGAAUUCAUGCUGGUUGGGUUCUGAUUCCACUUUAACUUACUGUAUAGCCUCAUCCCUUGUUUUUCUGGAGAUUCUCUUUUUCUGCUUCACUGAUUUAUAUUUACAUUAAAAUCAAAUGAGGCCAUGUUUCUGAAAUCACAUUGUCCCUACAUGGUCAUUACAAUGAGUCUGUAAUGUGACUGAAAGACAGCCAUGGAUACAGGUAGAGGAUAUCAGGCAAUUGAAUGCUCAUCAAGCAUUCAAUUCAGGGCAAAUGGCAUAAGGUAUGCAGUUGGCCUCUUCUGAUAUCUGUGUCUUAAUCCUUUCUUUAGCCUCUGUUUUCUGGACCAAGGCUAAGAUAUUUUCUGGGCACAGUGGCUCAUGCCUAUAAUCCCAGCACUCUGGGAGGCCAAGGUGGGAGGAUUUCUUCAGCCCAGGAGUUCGAGACCAGCCUGGGGAACAUAGGAGACCUCAUUCCUACAAAUAAUAAAAAAAAUUAGCCAGC
RNAcentral lists this long non-coding RNA (2665 nucleotides) under Homo sapiens (human). Its description in RNAcentral is "long intergenic non-protein coding RNA 2984". The record is from RNAcentral. Lineage: Eukaryota; Metazoa; Chordata; Mammalia; Primates; Hominidae.